UACGGAGGGGGCUAGCGUUGUUCGGAAUCAUUGGGCGUAAAGGGCGCGUAGGCGGCCGAUCAAGUCGGAGGUGAAAUCCCUCGGCUCAACUGAGGAAUUGCCUUCGAUACUGUUCGGCUUGAGUCCUGGAGAGGGUAGCGGAAUUCCCGGUGUAGCGGUGAAAUGCGUAGAGACCGGGAAGAACACCAGUGGCGAAGGCGGCUACCUGGACAGGUACUGACGCUGAUGCGCGAAAGCGUGGGGAGCAAACAGG
Molecule: ribosomal RNA, 253 nt
Filed under: uncultured bacterium
Lineage: Bacteria
Description: partial 16S ribosomal RNA
Rfam family: Bacterial small subunit ribosomal RNA
Source: RNAcentral